Molecule: ribosomal RNA, 326 nt
Filed under: uncultured Verrucomicrobiota bacterium
Lineage: Bacteria; Pseudomonadati; Verrucomicrobiota
Description: bacterial SSU rRNA
Rfam family: Bacterial small subunit ribosomal RNA
Source: RNAcentral
AACGAACGCUGGCGGCGUGUUUAAGACAUGCAAGUCGCACGGUGUCAUUCGUGUAGCAAUACUCGGAUGGCAUAGUGGCGCACGGGUGAGUAACACGUGAAUUACAUGCCCUGCAGAGGGGGACUAGCCCAGGGAAACUUGGAUUAAUACCCCAUGGUAUCGCAAGAUUAAACGGUGGCCGCAAGGCUGUCGCUGCAGGAUUGGUUCGCGCCCUAUCAGGCUUGUUGGCGGGUAACGGCCCACCAAGGCUACGACGGGUACCUGGUCUGAGAGGACGAUCAGGCACACUGGAACUGAGACACGGUCCAGACACCUACGGGUGGCAG